RNAcentral lists this ribosomal RNA (497 nucleotides) under uncultured bacterium. RNAcentral describes it as "partial 16S ribosomal RNA". It matches the Rfam family "Bacterial small subunit ribosomal RNA", at positions 28 to 507 of the family's 1533-position model. The record is from RNAcentral.
GAUGAACGCUGGCGGCGUGCCUAAUACAUGCAAGUCGAGCGAACAGACGAGUAGCUUGCUCCUCUGACGUUAGCGGCGGACGGGUGAGUAACACGUGGAUAACCUACCUAUAAGACUGGAAUAACUUCGGGAAACCGGAGCUAAUACCGGAUAAUAUAUUGAACCGCAUGGUUCAAUAGUGAAAGACGGUUUUGCUGUCACUUAUAGAUGGAUCCGCGCCGCAUUAGCUAGUUGGUAAGGUAACGGCUUACCAAGGCAACGAUGCGUAGCCGACCUGAGAGGGUGAUCGGCCACACUGGAACUGAGACACGGUCCAGACUCCUACGGGAGGCAGCAGUAGGGAAUCUUCCGCAAUGGGCGAAAGCCUGACGGAGCAACGCCGCGUGAGUGAUGAAGGUCUUCGGAUCGUAAAACUCUGUUAUUAGGGAAGAACAAAUGUGUAAGUAACUAUGCACGUCUUGACGGUACCUAAUCAGAAAGCCACGGCUAACUACGUG